GCUGGCGGCAUGCCUAACACAAGCAAGUCGAACGGUAACAGGAGAGAGCUUGCUCUCUUGCUGACGAGUGGCGGACGGGUGAGGAAUACUUAGGAAUCUGCCCAUUAGUGGGGGACAACUCCGGGAAACCGGAGCUAAUACCGCAUACGCCCUACGGGGGAAAGCAGGGGAUCUUUCGGGACCUUGCGCUAUUGGAUGAGCCUAAGUCAGAUUAGCUUGCUGGUGGGGUAAUGGCCUACCAAGGCAACGAUCUGUAGCUGGUCUGAGAGGAUGAUCAGCCACACUGGGACUGAGACACGGCCCAGACUCCUACGGGAGGCAGCAGUGGGGAAUAUUGGACAAUGGGCGAAAGCCUGAUCCAGCAAUGCCGCGUGUGUGAAGAAGGCCUGCGGGUUGUAAAGCACUUUCAGUAUCGAGGAAAAGCUUAAGGUUAAUAACCUUGAGUCUUGACGUUAACUACAGAAGAAGCACCGGCUAACUCUGUGCCAGCAGCCGCGGUAAUACAGAGGGUGCAAGCGUUAAUCGGAAUUACUGGGCGUAAAGCGCGCGUAGGCGGUUUGAUCAGUCGGAUGUGAAAGCCCUGGGCUCAACCUGGGAACUGCAUUCGAAACUGUCAAGCUAGAGUAUGGUAGAGGAUAGUGGAAUUCCUGGUGUAGCGGUGAAAUGCGUAGAUAUCAGGAGGAACAUCAGUGGCGAAGGCGACUGUCUGGACCAAUACUGACGCUGAGGUGCGAAAGCGUGGAGAGCAAACAGGAUUAGAUACCCUGGUAGUCCACGCCGUAAACGAUGUCAACUGGGUGUUGGGGAGCUUGACUCCUUAGUAUCGAAGCUAACGCGAUAAGUUGACCGCCUGGGGAGUACGGCCGCAAGGUUAAAACUCAAAUGAAUUGACGGGGGCCCGCACAAGCGGUGGAGCAUGUGGUUUAAUUCGAUGCAACGCGAAGAACCUUACCUGGCCUUGACAUGUAGCGAACUUUCCAGAGAUGGAUUGGUGCCUUCGGGAACGCUAACACAGGUGCUGCAUGGCUGUCGUCGUCUCGUGUCGUGAGAUGUUGGGUUAAGUCCCGCAACGAGCGCAACCCUUGUCCUUAGUUGCCAGCACGUAAUGGUGGGAACUCUAAGGAGACUGCCGGUGACAAACCGGAGGAAGGUGGGGAUGACGUCAAGUCAUCAUGGCCCUUAUGGCCAGGGCUACACACGUGCUACAAUGGCCGGUACAGAGGGUUGCCAACCCGCGAGGGGGAGCUAAUCCCAGAAAACCGGUCGUAGUCCGGAUUGGAGUCUGCAACUCGACUCCAUGAAGUCGGAAUCGCUAGUAAUCGCGAAUCAGAAUGUCGCGGUGAAUACGUUCCCGGGCCUUGUACACACCGCCCGUCACACCAUGGGAGUGGGUUGCAAAAGAAGUGGGUAGUCUAACCUUCGGGAGGACGCUCACCACUUUGUGAUUCAUGACUGGGGUGAAGUCGUAACAAGGUA
This 1476-nucleotide ribosomal RNA is filed under the name metagenome. Its description in RNAcentral is "bacterial SSU rRNA". It matches the Rfam family "Bacterial small subunit ribosomal RNA". The record is from RNAcentral.